GGGUAUGGUGCAUAAAGCCCACUCGGAAGAGUCAGUGUUCGGGCAGUUAUGGUGCUGGUAGUGGGUGUGGAGGAACUCGAGGUUUACAAUUAUUCCUCAAUAAAAAGUAGAACAAGUAGAAUAUGAAGUUGAAGUUGGAUAUGAAGUUACAAUUCAUAUAUAAAGAAGGGAAAAGGCAACAUGAAGAAAAUGAAGAGUGAAACAUAUAAAUAAUUCAUGAAAAUCUAUUGAAUUACUGAAACAAAAAUAAAAUAUUGUUUCUUGACAGAGGAUAUCCAUAAAAUAAUAUUGGAUUUUUUUUUAGGUUUGUCAACUUCACAAAAGCAACCUCAAAGAGCUUCAGUUAUUACAUUGGAAUGGAUUGUGUUGUAUAUUUUAUUAUGACCAUGUCCGCUCCAAUUGCAAGAGGAAACGUGAAUCUCUACAAUAUGGUAUUUACAACUUGCAGGAGACUAAAUUAUUUUGUAGUUAAUAAUAUAGUUAUAUUCACAAAGUAUUGUAAAAUCUUCAUUAGUAGCAUCAGACUAAUUGAAUAAAUGCUUCCAUGUGCUUGAAUAGGAUUUGUACAUCAUUAGGUGCAAAGCUCCUUGUGAAAGGCUACAUAUAGUGAAGCUGCAUAUAUAAGAGGUGGGACUUGAAUCAGUUUUAUUCUUAACACAUCGCAAAAUAUUUAUGACCAUCUUUACAACCUAUUUUUCUGCAAAGCUAUUCUCGUACCAUGAUGUAGCUGAGUGGAACAAUAUUGGAAGGACGAUGAGAGGUGGCUUGUGCUUGAAGUAGGGUUACUUUAGAAUAUCUAUGAAAUAAUAUUGGAAAAUUUUUUGUAGAUUAGUCAACCUCACAAAAAAACUUCAAAGAGCUUCAGUUAUGACAUUGGAAUGGAAUGUAUUGUAUAUUUGAUUAUGAACACAUAAGUUCCAAUUGUAAAAUGAAUAGUGAGAUUCUAAAGUUAUCAUUAAAUGAUAUUUACAACUUACAGUAAA
Non-coding RNA from Chiloscyllium plagiosum (whitespotted bambooshark), 983 nucleotides. Lineage: Eukaryota; Metazoa; Chordata; Chondrichthyes; Orectolobiformes; Hemiscylliidae. The record is from RefSeq and is a predicted model, not a curated record.